Molecule: ribosomal RNA, 467 nt
Filed under: uncultured bacterium
Lineage: Bacteria
Description: partial 16S ribosomal RNA
Rfam family: Bacterial small subunit ribosomal RNA
Source: RNAcentral
GACGAACGCUGGCGGCGUGCUUAACACAUGCAAGUCGAACGGAAAGGCCCCGCUUUUGUGGGGUGCUCGAGUGGCGAACGGGUGAGUAACACGUGAGUAACCUGCCCUUGACUUUGGGAUAACUUCAGGAAACUGGGGCUAAUACCGGAUAGGAGCUCCUGCUGCAUGGUGGGGGUUGGUCAGUUUCGGCGGUUGGGGAGGGGCUCGCGGCUUAUCAGCUUGUUGGUGGGGUAGUGGCUUACCAAGGCUUUGACGGGUAGCCGGCCUGAGGGGGUGACCGGCCACAUGGGGACUGAGAUAGGGCCCGGACUCCGACGGAUGGCAGCAGGGGGGAAUAUUGCACACUGGGCGGAAGCCUGAUGCAGCAACGCCGCGGGGGUGAGAACGGCCUUCGGGUUGUAACCGCUUUCGCCUGUGACGAAGCGGGAGUGACGGUAAUGGGUAAAGAAGCACCGGCUAACUACGUG